This 254-nucleotide ribosomal RNA is filed under the name uncultured bacterium. Its description in RNAcentral is "partial 16S ribosomal RNA". It matches the Rfam family "Bacterial small subunit ribosomal RNA", at positions 524 to 776 of the family's 1533-position model. The record is from RNAcentral.
GACAGAGGAUGCAAGCGUUAUCCGGAAUGACUGGGCGUAAAGGGCGCGUAGGCGGAAUGCUUUGUCGGGCGUGAAAUUCCAGGGCUCAACCUUGGGGCUGCGUUCGAGACGGGUAUUCUAGAGUGGGGAAGAGGGUCGUGGAAUUCCCAGUGUAGAGGUGAAAUUCGUAGAUAUUGGGAAGAACACCGGUGGCGAAGGCGGCGACCUGGUCCUUUUACUGACGCUGAGGCGCGAAAGCGUGGGGAGCAAACAGG